RNAcentral lists this ribosomal RNA (919 nucleotides) under uncultured bacterium. Its description in RNAcentral is "bacterial SSU rRNA". It matches the Rfam family "Bacterial small subunit ribosomal RNA", at positions 1 to 916 of the family's 1533-position model. The record is from RNAcentral.
UAGAGUUUGAUCCUGGCUCAGGAUGAACGCUAGCUACAGGCUUAACACAUGCAAGUCGAGGGGAAACGACAUCGAAAGCUUGCUUUUGAUGGGCGUCGACCGGCGCACGGGUGAGUAACGCGUAUCCAACCUGCCCACCACUUGGGGAUAACCUUGCGAAAGUAAGACUAAUACCCAAUGAUAUCUCAAGAAGCCAUCUGAAUGAGAUUAAAGAUUUAUCGGUGAUGGAUGGGGAUGCGUCUGAUUAGCUUGUUGGCGGGGUAACGGCCCACCAAGGCUACGAUCAGUAGGGGUUCUGAGAGGAAGGUCCCCCACAUUGGAACUGAGACACGGUCCAAACUCCUACGGGAGGCAGCAGUGAGGAAUAUUGGUCAAUGGGCGAGAGCCUGAAUCAGCCAAGUAGCGUGCAGGAUGACGGCCCUAUGGGUUGUAAACUGCUUUUAUAAGGGAAUAAAGUGAGCCUCGUGAGGCUUUUUGCAUGUACCUUAUGAAUAAGGACCGGCUAAUUCCGUGCCAGCAGCCGCGGUAAUACGGAAGGUCCGGGCGUUAUCCGGAUUUAUUGGGUUUAAAGGGAGCGUAGGCCGGAGAUUAAGCGUGUUGUGAAAUGUAGACGCUCAACGUCUGCACUGCAGCGCGAACUGGUUUCCUUGAGUACGCACAAAGUGGGCGGAAUUCGUGGUGUAGCGGUGAAAUGCUUAGAUAUCACGAAGAACUCCGAUUGCGAAGGCAGCUCACUGGAGCGCAACUGACGCUGAAGCUCGAAAGUGCGGGUAUCGAACAGGAUUAGAUACCCUGGUAGUCCGCACGGUAAACGAUGGAUGCCCGCUGUUGGUCUGAAUAGGUCAGCGGCCAAGCGAAAGCAUUAAGCAUCCCACCUGGGGAGUACGCCGGCAACGGUGAAACUCAAAGGAAUUGACGG